GGGUAUAUAGCUCAGUGAUAGAGUGUGUGCUUAGCAUGCACGAGGUUCUGGGUUCAACCCCCAGUACCUCCA
RNAcentral lists this transfer RNA (72 nucleotides) under Camelus bactrianus (Bactrian camel). It matches the Rfam family "tRNA". From Rfam's summary of the family: Transfer RNA (tRNA) molecules are approximately 80 nucleotides in length. Their secondary structure includes four short double-helical elements and three loops (D, anti-codon, and T loops). Further hydrogen bonds mediate the characteristic L-shaped molecular structure. tRNAs have two regions of fundamental functional importance: the anti-codon, which is responsible for specific mRNA codon recognition, and the 3' end, to which the tRNAs corresponding amino acid is attached (by aminoacyl-tRNA synthetases). tRNAs cope with the degeneracy of the genetic code in two manners: having more than one tRNA (with a specific anti-codon) for a particular amino acid; and 'wobble' base-pairing, i.e. permitting non-standard base-pairing at the 3rd anti-codon position. The record is from Rfam by way of RNAcentral. RNAcentral also lists the same sequence under 1 other name. Lineage: Eukaryota; Metazoa; Chordata; Mammalia; Artiodactyla; Camelidae.